GCUCCCCUAAUUUAUUUUUUCUCUUCCCUCACAAAUCAAAUCGUAACAAAUGUAAGACUGCACUACUGCUGAAUUUUUAGCUUCUCUUCUCUCUCUAAUGGAGGGCCGUUUCAAACUAAUCUGUCGGCGAAAGAAUUUAUUAAUCAUAUUGGUUUAAACAUGGUAAUUACCAAUUAGUGGCAAUAAAUAUGGUUUAUUAGUAUUAAAUAUUAUAUUACUUACCCUUUUCUGUUGCUUAAUAUUGUGCAUGGAGAAAAAAAGAAAAAAAAAAUCUGUCAUUUCUUACUUACCAAAUAUAUAAUUUUCUUUCGUGUCCUAUAUAAAUUAAUGUUAUCAGUCUUGUGUCAUUUGUAUAUAAUUAAUGCUUAUUAUUCAGUUUUUACAGAAAUUUUGCCCCUCUCUUUUUGUGGUGUGCUUCUUCUUGCUCUUUCUUCUCUUCUCCUUAUUGGGUACAGUUCUGUUUCUAUCUGUUGCUGUUUUGGCAUUAGACUCUGUUCUUUGUCUCCUGCAGAGGCUUUUUAUCCAUGAAGAUGCCAGUAAGUACGUUUUAUGUUUGUCUCUUUUAAUUUUUUCAAUCUGGGUUUUGAACUUUUCUGUUCUUUCUAUGUUCUUGCUAAAUCUGGAAGCUUUGUAUUUUGAUGGCUUGAAUUCUAUGAUUAUUUGUGAUUGAUUGAAGAUUCUUUAAAGUACCAUAUUUGAUUACCUUUCUGGACUUUUCAUUUCUUGCUACCAGUCUAUAAUCUAUAUCGCCAAUGGCUAUCAUACAGAAUUCACUUCAUUUUUACUGUUUUUGCACGCUUAUCUCUUUGCUUUUUUUUUUUCUUUGAAAGUGAUGAGUUGUUUGGGUAUCAUGUAAAAUGGAAUUCUCAUUCCCCUUCUUGUUCUUGGGUGACGCUGAAUUCCAUCUUGAAUAGUGUGUUUUUAUUUUUGUUGGUUUUCCUAUGUUCCUGCACUUUUUAUCAGCUUUGCUUUCAUUGGAUUCUAUACCUUUUCAACUUUUUAUAUGUUGGUUUAUUUACUGCAUUACUUUCCUUGCUUUUGGAGUUACCAAACCAUACCUCAGCUUUUCACAUUUCAGCUGGUUAAUUUGUUAUAUUAAAUUAUGGUCGCUCACCAUCUCUCCUUUUAUUAUUUUUUUCCCAAGAAAGUUCAUUGCUUCCUAUUUUAACUAAUGGUGAUCCCUUAUAUUCGAUUGUUUUUACUUGAAGUUAAUAUCUUCAAUAUUUAGUGUAUUUGAUUUUUUUUUUCAGAUGUGCAGUAUUUGUUACCUCCAUUUGGAAUUAUUCAACAGCAUGGGCGACAUUUGUUUUGGUUUCUGUGUUUGUACUCUCUUGCUGGUCUUUUUUUAGCAUUUUACUCAACCGUGAUUCGUAGCUUCUGUUAGUCCACCAGAGAAGGAUGACAAAAUUGGACUUCCCAUCUUGUCCUUCUUAUGGAAUUAUCAUUGUUUUCUAUUUCUGUUUCAAAGUUCUCUUUUUCUUUUUAAUGUUAUUGUGUUAUUUGUUGCACCAUUGCAUCUUGAGUACAGAGUCUGUUUUGAGAAUGUUUUUUCACACUAUUUCAGGUGGCAUUGCUCUUGCUGCUGGCUCUAAGCAAUGCUAUUGGAAUUAAUGGAGAAAAGAGCAGUGGACAGUGUGAUUAUAAGCCUAGUUUAGACCCAAGACCACAUAGUGUGUCCAUUCUUGAAUUUGGUGCAGUUGGAGAUGGGAAAACAUUAAAUACAAUUGCCUUCCAGAAUGCUAUUUUCUAUCUCAAGUCCUUUGCUGAUAAGGGUGGUGCUCAGCUUUACGUGCCACCAGGAAAAUGGCUCACUGGAAGUUUCAAUCUUACCAGCCAUCUCACACUUUUCCUGGAAAAAGGAGCUGUUAUUCUUGGAUCUCAGGAUCCAUCUCGUUGGGAUGUAGUAGAACCCUUGCCUUCAUAUGGUCGUGGGAUUGAACUUCCUGGAAAAAGAUAUCGAAGUCUAAUAAAUGGAUAUAAGCUGCUUGAUGUGGUGAUAACAGGUAGUGUGUCAGGAAUUUCAUUUCCACCCUUUCUGCCUCUGAUUUUUUUCUUUGGUCUCUAUCAUGGAUUAUCUUACAUUUUAAUAACUGUUAUAGGUGAUAAUGGAACCAUUGAUGGCCAGGGCUCAGUUUGGUGGGAUUCGUUCAAUUCUCAUUCUUUGAACUACAGCCGGCCUCAUCUUGUGGAGUUUAUAGAAUCUGAACGUCUGGUGGUUUCAAAUCUUACCUUCUUGAAUGCUCCUGCAUAUAACAUUCAUCCAGUAUAUUGCAGGUAAUUUGGCAAAAGCUUAUGUGAUUGCAAAGUCUGUCUUUCAAUUCUCUAUUCAACUUAUCAUUAUACAGCUUGACUUACACGUGAAUGUGAUUAUACUCUGAUGCAGUAAUGUUCUUGUUCAAAAUAUGUCGCUCUCUGCUCCUCCACAAUCCCCUUACACCAUCGGUAUAGUCCCAGGUCUGUAGAACUGAGUUAGUUAUAUUUAUGGAAAUAGUGUCAUCUUCCUUUAACUGCCCUUGCAUAUUAGUAGUUAUUCCCUUUUUUUUAAAUGUUGCAUGAUUCAACUCCUAGAGCAUUUGAGGUGCCAAAAUCUGAAGAUCAUAGUUAUCGGUUGGAUUGUUUCAGCUCAUAGUGAUUGGUUGGAUUGUUUCAGCUCAUAUUUGGAUCCCUUUUUGAGGAAUUCCCUAAGGGUCUCAUUUGUCUAAAGUUACAAUCCCCAAACUUUUUGCGGAAUGCAGUUUUCGAAUAAUAACUAGUGGCUGUUUAGCAUUAUUUCACAUCAGCAGACUCCAUUGAAUCAUGACAAGUAAAAUGCACAUUCUGCAUUCUAGGUGGUUUUGAAGCUUCCUCAUUACCGUUCUAAAAGAAAAGCCCUUUGCUCUUUGCUUCUUUGAUAAUUUUUUCUAUGAUCAUUCUAAUUGUUCUAUAGAAUUAUUUAACUAUGCAUUGUGGAAAUGCUCUUCUUAUGCUUUCUAAUUGUAGUAAAUAUUUUCAGAUUCUUCCAAUAACGUUUGCAUAGAGGACAGUAUUAUUGAAAUGGGUUACGAUGCAAUUGCUCUCAAGAGUGGCUGGGAUGAAUACGGCAUUUCCUAUGAUAGAGCUACUAGAGAUGUGCACAUAAGAAGGGUCCACAUUCAAUCAUCUUCAGGCUCUUCUAUUGCUUUUGGUAGUGAGAUGUCUGGUGGCAUUUCUGAUGUGCAUGUGGAGCAGGUCCACCUAUACAACUCAUUUAGUGGGAUUGAGUUUAGAACAACCAAGGGCAGAGGUGGUUAUAUUAAAGGAAUUUAUAUAUCAGAUGUUGAAAUGGAAAAUGUCAACUUAGCAUUUGGUGCCAUUGGCGAUCUUGGGUUACAUCCGGACGACAAUUUUGAUCCUAAUGCUCUUCCAGUUCUUGAUCAAAUCACGUUGCAAAAUGUAACUGGUACAAACAUCACUAUAGCAGGAAAUUUCACUGGAAUUCAAGAAUCUCCCUUCACCUCCAUUUGUCUGUUUAACGUCUCCUUAACGGUUUCAGCAUCCUUCACAACGUCUUGGAUAUGUUCAAGUGUUAUUGGCUUUUCAGAGUCUGUUUUCCCUGAACCAUGCCCUGAACUGAUGAACCCGUACUCAAAUUCCUCAGGUUGCUACUCCCUCCUGAUUUCUGAUGGUAAAUCAGCAAGCUUAUGAUACUAUUCCUUCACACUAAAAUCACAUGGGGUAAAAUAUGGAUUCUUCUACAGUUUACUGUCUCUAAAGUGGGUAAGAUUCUUUCCAAUAAGACCCAUGUCUAGAGGAGUAUUUGUUGGUACCUUGGUUUUGCAUUCUCCCAUGUUGAAAUCUGCAGAUUAAUUAUUUGUACAGCUCCAUUUCUUCAUUCAUGUGUAAGAAAAUUUUUGGUAGUGAUCUGCAAAAAACCACAAGGACUCAGAUUAGCAUUGCUAUUUAUAGUUUAUUCCUUUCUUGUUUAUAAUAAAGUUUGCAGCUGUAAAGUUCCAUUGUCAGAAGAUUUAAUGUUUUUCAGCCUUGUGC
Molecule: unclassified non-coding RNA, 4005 nt
Filed under: Hevea brasiliensis (rubber tree)
Lineage: Eukaryota; Viridiplantae; Streptophyta; Magnoliopsida; Malpighiales; Euphorbiaceae
Source: RNAcentral